This 628-nucleotide ribosomal RNA is filed under the name Pseudobensingtonia musae. RNAcentral's name for it is "LSU rRNA". It matches the Rfam family "Eukaryotic large subunit ribosomal RNA", at positions 44 to 657 of the family's 3401-position model. The record is from RNAcentral. Lineage: Eukaryota; Fungi; Basidiomycota; Agaricostilbomycetes; Agaricostilbales; Agaricostilbaceae.
AAUAAGGCGGAGGAAAAGAAACUAACMAGGAUUCCCCUAGUAACGGCGAGUGAAGCGGGAAGAGCUCAACUUUGUAAUCUGGCUGCUUCGCAGUCCGAGUUGUAGUCUAUAGAAGCAUGAUCCGCGCCGGACCUUGGCCAUGUCUGUUGGAAAGCAGUGUCAAAGAGGGUGAUAAUCCCGUACAUACCAAGGACGACCGUGUGCAUUGUGGUCUGCUCUCUAAGAGUCGAGUUGUUUGGGAAUGCAGCUCUAAUCGGGUGGUAAAUUCCAUCUAAAGCUAAAUACCGACGAGAGACCGAUAGCGAACAAGUACAGUAAUGGAAAGAUGAAAAGUAGCCUGCAGAGGCAAUGAAACAAUACGUGAAACCGUUUGUAGGGAAACGAUGGAACCUUUUCACGCUGCAGGGGCUCAGCCUGGCUUCGGCUUGGUGUAUUCCCCUGUUUUGCGGGCCAGCAUCAGUUUGCUUUGCGGUAUAAGGGUGAUUGGAAUGUGGCUCCCACGGGAGUGUUAUAGCCUUUCACUGGAUGCCGCGUCGCAGACUGAGGACUGCAGUGCGCCAUUAGGCAUUACCCCCGGGUAACGAGCACUUAGGAUGCUGGUAGAAUGGGUUUCAACGACCCGUCUUGA